Molecule: long non-coding RNA, 287 nt
Filed under: Elaeis guineensis (African oil palm)
Lineage: Eukaryota; Viridiplantae; Streptophyta; Magnoliopsida; Arecales; Arecaceae
Description: long non-coding RNA (EGUI_LNC020225)
Source: RNAcentral
GGGCCAUCGAGGAGGCUUUCUUCCUUGUCCGGUCUUGAUCGAUCGAGCCUUUGUUUGUGUCAGGAUGAGGUUCUCCUCUUAUUUUUGACGGUCAGUUUCAGCUCAUGUUAGGAUGAGGUUAUCCUUCUAUUCCUAACAGGAUUGUGGGGGCAUGCAAGGGCCGCUGCCUGGGCCUCUUCCCCCAUCCGGUCUUUAAGUAAUCGGCCCUUCGACUUUGCUCAUGUUAGGAUGAGGUUCUCCUCCUGUUCCUAACAAGGCUAUGGGGGCACAUAAGGGCCGUUGCAAGG